UACAUGGGGUGCAAACGUUGCUCGGAAUUAUUGGGCGUAAAGCGCACGUAGGCGGUUCGUUAAGUCGGAUGUGAAAGCCCUCGGCUCAACUGAGGAAGUGCACCCGAAACUGGCGAGCUUGAGUACGAAAGAGGAUCGCGGAAUUCCCGGUGUAGAGGUGAAAUUCGUAGAUAUCGGGAGGAACACCAGAGGCGAAGGCGGUUUCCUGGACAGUUACUGGACGCUCAGGGCACGAAAGCAUGGGGAGCAAAAGGG
RNAcentral lists this ribosomal RNA (255 nucleotides) under uncultured bacterium. RNAcentral's name for it is "partial 16S ribosomal RNA". It matches the Rfam family "Bacterial small subunit ribosomal RNA", at positions 524 to 776 of the family's 1533-position model. The record is from RNAcentral.